GACGAACGCUGGCGGCGUGCUUAACACAUGCAAGUCGAACGGAAAGGCCCUGCUUUUGUGGGGUGCUCGAGUGGCGAACGGGUGAGUAACACGUGAGUAACCUGCCCUUGACUUUGGGAUAACUUCAGGAAACUGGGGCUAAUACCGGAUAGGAGCUCCUGCUGCAUGGUGGGGGUUGGAAAGUUUCGGCGGUUGGGGAUGGACUCGCGGCUUAUCAGCUUGUUGGUGGGGUAGUGGCUUACCCAGGCUUUGACGGGUAGCCGGCCUGAGAGGGUGACCGGCGACAUUGGGACUGAGAGACGGCCCAGACUCCUACGGGAGGCAGCAGUGGGGAAUAUUGCACAAUGGGCGGAAGCCUGAUGCAGCAACGCCGCGUGCGUGAUGACGGCCUUCGGGUUGUAAACCGCUUUCGCCUGUGACGAAGCGUGAGUGACGGUAAUGGGUAAAGAAGCACCGGCUAACUACGUG
This 468-nucleotide ribosomal RNA is filed under the name uncultured bacterium. RNAcentral's name for it is "partial 16S ribosomal RNA". It matches the Rfam family "Bacterial small subunit ribosomal RNA", at positions 28 to 507 of the family's 1533-position model. The record is from RNAcentral.